Molecule: unclassified non-coding RNA, 200 nt
Filed under: Helotiales sp.
Lineage: Eukaryota; Fungi; Ascomycota; Leotiomycetes; Helotiales
Description: partial internal transcribed spacer 2
Source: RNAcentral
UUAAGUUCAGCGGGUAUCCCUACCUGAUCCGAGGUCAAACGAAGAAAAUUGGGGGUUGCUGGCCAGCGACUGCUGGUCCCUGUCGCGAGAAGAAUUACUGCGCGUAGGGCCUAGCAGGCACCGCCACUGCUUUCAAGGCCCGCCGUCCCCGGCGGCGCCCAAGACCAAGCUAGGCUUGAGGGUUGUACUGACGCUCGAAC